GUGAAAAAUUUCUUGUGAGUAUUUGGGGACAAGCAGGCUGCCAGUUGAAUUAGUAAGUGUGAUUACCCAGGAAUCACAAAUGGCCUUAGGGGAGGAGACAAUGCUAUUUACAUCUCUGGUUUUCACUGGUGGGAAUUGAGUUGUGGGAAACAGUUUUGUGCAUUUUUGCCAUGCACAGACCAAUUUGGCUUCUCAGAUCAUGCCUAUAGAAGUUGUAGGGAUAUAAGAUGGCACACCACGAAACUCCAUUAGUCGCAAUUUGUCAAAUUCGUAUAUUGUGCGCUCCAUGUCUGUAGGAUCCUCAACAGAGAGUUUUGUGAGAAAAAAAGUCCAGUACUUUCUACUUACCGCACAGACCAUAUGUUGCCAGCCCUCC
Non-coding RNA from Pelobates cultripes (western spadefoot toad), 376 nucleotides. NCBI's taxonomy places the organism in Eukaryota, Metazoa, Chordata, Amphibia, Anura, Pelobatidae. The record is from the annotation of a GenBank genome assembly.